UUACGCUUGAAUUUUUACUCAAAGAUCUCGGGAUCGUAAAAAUUGAAAGGAUAGCAGUCUUGCGUAAUAACGUAUGUACAAUCAACCAGGAUUAUCGGAUGUCAUUCCGGGAAUAUAUAUUCGAGCCUGCGAUUCCGAGAAAUUACUGAAAAACAUUUCGAGAAGCGAGCGACUGUAAGUAAAUAAACAAAUCGCGCCGCGCGGACAUUUCUUCCCUUUUCCCUUCCGCCGUCUCCUGUUUCGCUCCGUCCGCUCGGGCGCACACCCUGUAGUCCGCUGUACAUUAAGGUACGAGCUCGCAUAAACAUCCCCGCUCAAAGCUUCUCGAUUAUAUAUUCUGUCGAGAAAAGCAAUAAUGUUCGAUUCCAUCAACUAACAAGAUGUUCGUGGAUGAGAUUUUUUAACUAUGCGAUUGUAUACUCCGCGUACUUAUCGAUACGGAGCGUGCGACUAAUCGACUUUUAAACAGUUGGUAGAAGUGGAUCGUCAGUCGUCCAGUCGUCCAGUCGUCCCCCCGAGUACCGACACGGUCGCGUCUGGAUCCGUUAUUGAUCGCGGAUCGAGAAGAUAAUUCGUCGAGAAGAGGCUCGAGCGGCCUCAGGAACGGACCCAAGGAUCUUCCUAAGGAUCCUCCGAUGCCGAUGGAAGUGUUCGCGGACAGUCAUCGGCCCUCGUGAAACGAGACAGGUACGCGGAGUGCGGCGCGGCGUUUCGGUAAUUGCGUCGCAAGCGUCGUGUUGUGUGUGAGAGAGACGCGGUUCGACGGGUAAAGGACGGAAAGCACGCGUGUCGAAGGUGCGUGGCGAACAGUGCGUAUCGAAAACACGAAAGGCCAGAGAGGUAGUGUGAUGAAAAGUACUUGGAAGCUAGUGCCUCUAACGGAGUAAUGACUUUGCGAAAAUUCCGAGAUACGUGAUGCGAGGUGAGUAGUAAUGGCGGACGCGGGGGGUGGGGGGGAAGAGCAACUUCUUUUCCCGGCCAAUUUCCGAGGACCUUUCGAUACCGUGGAAGUAGUCGCGGACGGCGAUCGCAUCCUGGUGAAACGAAACAAACGUCGCGGAGUGCCGCCUUUUGGUUGGAAUUCCGUCGUGUUUUGACGUAUCUUGACGGGUAAAGAACGAAUAGAACGCGUGUCGAAGGUGCGUGGCGAACAGUGCGUAUCGAAAACACGAAAGGUGACAGAGAUAGUGUGAUAAAAAGUGCUUGGAAGUGCCAGUAAUGGAGUAACGAUUUCGAGAAAACUCCAAGAUAUCUACGGACGCCCGGCGAGCAGUAAUGCAAGCGGACGAGGGAAGCAACGUAUUUUUCUCCUAUUUCCAGAUAUGGUCAUCGAAAAAUUACAUCGCAGGAUCUAGUGGCUGAAUAACUCCGCUCAUUGCGCAUCGGGUCGGUGAGUCAAAAAAAUUUUUUUAUUUUCUUAUUUUAGUGCUUAAAUAUUUUGCGCAGGUUGAAAGAAAUGUUUAAAUAAUACUUAGAUUUUCAUUUGUCUUUAUUACAAAAAGUAUUCAUCACCUUCGCCAAACAUUCGUUACGCUUUAUCUUAUAAAAGUAAAUGAACGAUUAAUGUCGGUAUCAUUUUCAACUCAAAUAGACGUGAGCAGAAAUCAUCGUUUAGUUAUAUUAUCUCUCUCUAAUGAGGAAAUCUAAUCUUCGGGUUAUAAGGUCCCUGACCGGGGAAAGUCGGGAAGGGUUU
Molecule: long non-coding RNA, 1693 nt
Organism: Solenopsis invicta (red fire ant)
Lineage: Eukaryota; Metazoa; Arthropoda; Insecta; Hymenoptera; Formicidae
Exons: 2
Source: RefSeq, a predicted model, not a curated record